GAUGAACGCUGGCGGCGUGCUUAACACAUGCAAGUCGAACGAAGCACUUUGAUUUCUUCGGAUUGAAAGGUGACUGAGUGGCGGACGGGUGAGUAACGCGUGAGGAACCUGCCUUUCAGAGGGGGACAACAGUUGGAAACGACUGCUAAUACCGCAUGACGCAUUCGGGUCGCAUGGCCUGAAUGCCAAAGAUUUUAUCGCUGAAAGAUGGCCUCGCGUCUGAUUAGCUAGUUGGUGAGGUAACGGCCCACCAAGGCGACGAUCAGUAGCCGGUCUGAGAGGAUGAACGGCCACAUUGGGACUGAGAUACGGCCCAAACUCCUACGGGAGGCAGCAGUGGGGAAUAUUGCACAAUGGGGGAAACCCUGAUGCAGCGACGCCGCGUGAGCGAUGAAGUAUUUCGGUAUGUAAAGCUCUAUCAGCAGGGAAGAAAAUGACGGUACCUGACUAAGAAGCACCGG
Molecule: ribosomal RNA, 461 nt
Filed under: uncultured bacterium
Lineage: Bacteria
Description: bacterial SSU rRNA
Rfam family: Bacterial small subunit ribosomal RNA
Source: RNAcentral